This 757-nucleotide ribosomal RNA is filed under the name uncultured bacterium. Its description in RNAcentral is "bacterial SSU rRNA". It matches the Rfam family "Bacterial small subunit ribosomal RNA", at positions 28 to 776 of the family's 1533-position model. The record is from RNAcentral.
AUUGAACGCUGGCGGCAGGCAACACAUGCAAGUCGAGCGGUAACAGAGAGUAGCUUGCUACUCUGCUGACGAGCGGCGGACGGGUGAGUAAUGCUUGGGAAUAUGCCUUAUGGUGGGGGACAACAGUUGGAAACGACUGCUAAUACCGCAUGAUGUCUACGGACCAAAGUGGGGGACCUUCGGGCCUCACGCCAUAAGAUUAGCCCAAGUGGGAUUAGCUAGUUGGUGAGGUAAUGGCUCACCAAGGCGACGAUCCCUAGCUGGUUUGAGAGGAUGAUCAGCCACACUGGGACUGAGACACGGCCCAGACUCCUACGGGAGGCAGCAGUGGGGAAUAUUGCACAAUGGGCGCAAGCCUGAUGCAGCCAUGCCGCGUGUGUGAAGAAGGCCUUCGGGUUGUAAAGCACUUUCAGUAAGGAGGAAAGGUUAAGUGUUAAUAGCGCUUAGCUGUGACGUUACUUACAGAAGAAGCACCGGCUAACUCCGUGCCAGCAGCCGCGGUAAUACGGAGGGUGCGAGCGUUAAUCGGAAUUACUGGGCGUAAAGCGUACGCAGGCGGUUUGUUAAGCGAGAUGUGAAAGCCCCGGGCUCAACCUGGGAACUGCAUUUCGAACUGGCAAACUAGAGUGUGAUAGAGGGUGGUAGAAUUUCAGGUGUAGCGGUGAAAUGCGUAGAGAUCUGAAGGAAUACCGAUGGCGAAGGCAGCCACCUGGGUCAACACUGACGCUCAUGUACGAAAGCGUGGGGAGCAAACAGG